UUACCUUUCCGUGGUUUUCUACCCAGUAUCCGGUAGAUGUAAUCCCCUCCUUGACAGUUAUCAUUAUCCAAUAUUCGGUAUUGAUAAGUCCUUCACCCCCGGUGAUAUAUCUCUUGGAUGAUUGCUCUGAUCAGGCAGUUUAUCCCCAUCAAGUCAUUUUUCAUAUACCGAUUGCCGGUAAUGGUUGUUGCUCCCCUUGAAUGGUCA
This 207-nucleotide long non-coding RNA is filed under the name Lathyrus oleraceus (garden pea). RNAcentral describes it as "Pisum sativum (pea) long non-coding RNA (PSAT_LNC025393)". The record is from RNAcentral. Lineage: Eukaryota; Viridiplantae; Streptophyta; Magnoliopsida; Fabales; Fabaceae.